AAGAACACAAAGAUCUGUACAAGGACGUCAUGAUGGAGGAUCACUGGCCUCUCACAUCACCAGUUAAGGAACAGAGAAGAACACCGGAGAGAUGUCCCAAUCCUCCUCUUCCACAUGAUGGUUCAGAAGAACAUCACAAUGUCCCACAGGAUGAUCAGCUUGUUAAUCUGGGUGAAGAUCUGAACAAUAUUAAUCCUACAAAGACAUAUGUGAGG
Molecule: long non-coding RNA, 215 nt
Organism: Bufo gargarizans (Asiatic toad)
Lineage: Eukaryota; Metazoa; Chordata; Amphibia; Anura; Bufonidae
Exons: 3
Source: RefSeq, a predicted model, not a curated record